Molecule: ribosomal RNA, 548 nt
Filed under: uncultured beta proteobacterium
Lineage: Bacteria; Pseudomonadati; Pseudomonadota; Betaproteobacteria
Description: bacterial SSU rRNA
Rfam family: Bacterial small subunit ribosomal RNA
Source: RNAcentral
UGGGGAAUUUUGGACAAUGGGCGCAAGCCUGAUCCAGCAAUGCCGCGUGCAGGAAGAAGGCCUUCGGGUUGUAAACUGCUUUUGCCAGGGAAGAAAUCCUCUGGGUUAAUACCUCGGGGGGAUGACGGUACCUGAAGAGUAAGCACCGGCUAACUACGUGCCAGCAGCCGCGGUAAUACGUAGGGUGCGAGCGUUAAUCGGAAUUACUGGGCGUAAAGCGUGCGCAGGCGGUUGUGCAAGACAGGUGUGAAAUCCCCGGGCUUAACCUGGGAACUGCACUUGUGACUGCACGGCUAGAGUACGGUAGAGGGGGAUGGAAUUCCGCGUGUAGCAGUGAAAUGCGUAGAUAUGCGGAGGAACACCGAUGGCGAAGGCAAUCCCCUGGACCUGUACUGACGCUCAUGCACGAAAGCGUGGGGAGCAAACAGGAUUAGAUACCCUGGUAGUCCACGCCCUAAACGAUGUCAACUGGUUGUUGGACGGCUUGCUGUUCAGUAACGAAGCUAACGCGUGAAGUUGACCGCCUGGGGAGUACGGCCGCAAGGUUG